RNAcentral lists this long non-coding RNA (1889 nucleotides) under Homo sapiens (human). Its description in RNAcentral is "HSALNT0122052". The record is from RNAcentral. Lineage: Eukaryota; Metazoa; Chordata; Mammalia; Primates; Hominidae.
CCCGGCACCGCCUUCCUAACGGCUGUUUGUUUUUGCACACGGCACGCGGAGGCGGGGCCUCCAGCCCCAAUAGUGACGCGCUCUCUGCCUUUCACCAGGCGCCCAAGCCUGACGAACAGAAAGGCAAACCAAUGAGAUUGGACGCCUCGCAGACGAAAGCCAAUAAAAAUAUCGCCCGCGAGCAAGGGAGGCGGGCCACUGGGAAGGACAGCAAAAUUAGCUAAUAAGGUGAAGCGAUUGCAGGCGCUGUGGCUUUCCCGCCCAUUCGCGGCGUUGGUUUUCCCGCUUCUGAGACUUGUUUGGGGAGAGAUGGAGUCCUGGGACUACAGGCGCGCGCCCCAAUGCCCAGCUAACUUUUGUAUUUUUAAUAGAGACGGGGUUUCUCCGUGUUGGUCAGGCUGGUCUCGAACUCCUGACCUCAGGUGAUCUGCCCCCCUUUGCCUCCCAAAGUACUGGGAUUACAGGCGUGAGCCACCGCGCCCGGCAUGUAUUACAAAUUCUAAGAACACGAAGAUAAUGGGGCCGGCUUGGUGGCGCGAACCUGUAGCCUCACCUACUGUCAAGACUGAGACAGGAGGAUCUCUUGAGCCCAGGAGGUCGAGGCUGCAGUGAGUCAUGAUCGCACCACUGCACUCCAGCUUGGGAGACAGAAUAUACCCUGUCUAAAAAAUAAUAAUAAAAAAAAAGGUAAUGGAUGAGGCCGAUAGUCAGGAAUGAAAUGACUUUAAACAAUUGGGUAUGCAUGGGAUUGGGUAUGUGUGUAUGUGGGGGCAGAGGGUGGGCAUAACCGAAGUCCCAUACUCAUGUCCCUCUAGGCCUAAUACAUUUUGCAGACCUCACAGAGCUCAGACUGUUGUGAGCCGUUUUUCUUUUCUCAACCUCUUCAGUGUGUUUAUUUUGCUUACAUCAUUAGGUUAAAAUUUGGAGGAUAACUCCCAGCUAGAAAGGAAGAAAAGCUCUAAAGUGGAAUCGCCUUCCCCCGGAAGCUGUUGUAAAAAUUAAAGGAUGUAUGUGAGUGCACAGGCUCUCCAGCGAUCGUUUUUCUUCCACAGUGUUAACACAAUUUAUUUAUUUAUUUACUUUUUGAGAUGAAGUCUCACUCUGUUGCCCAGGCUGGAUGGAGUGCAGUGGUGUGAUCUGGGCUCACUGCAACCUCCGCCUCCUGAGUUCAAGCGAUUCUCCUGCCUCAGCCUCCUGGGUAGCUGGGACUAAAGGCUCCCACCACCAUUCCCCGCUAGUUUUUGUAUUUUUAGUAGAAAUAGGGUUUCACCAUGUUGGCCAGGCUGGUCUUGAACUCCUGACCUCAAGUGAUCCUCUCGCCUCAGCCUCCUAAAGUGCUGGGAUUACAGGCGUGAGCCACCGCGCCUGGCCUGUUUCCACAAUUAAAAAAGGCCCAUCACCCUAUCAUGAUCAUCUCUAUUACAGUCUGGACAAUAUGAGCUUUCUGGGAGAGCCAGCUUCAUUUCAUAACUGAAGAAAUGGGCUUAGGUGAACUUAGUCAUUUGCCUGAGACCGCAUAGCCUGUAGAUAACCAAGAUACCAGCUCACAUUUGUUCCAACUCAUUCCAGCUUUAAAUUCUUUCAUUCUUUUCACAGUAUGAUGCAUUGACUGUGCUAGAAUGUGUUCUUGGUGUUGGUGAGUUAAUAGUGAAAAAAACAAGUUUCUGCCUUAGUGGAGAUUCUGUUGUCAUAGGAUUUUCCCAGGCUGGCACUUUAGAAAUUUAUAUCCAGGCUGAUGAUAGCUGUUCCAAAGUUUGAAUCAGGAGAAGCAACUUUGGGGAAGUGAGUCUUUAAAAAAAGGUAACUUAAAUUCAAGAAGAGGAAGAGGGUGAGCUUCUAAGUAAGAAUUUGGAAAAAUACGGAUGAAGGUACAGACAAGUGUGAGGAAG